RNAcentral lists this ribosomal RNA (483 nucleotides) under uncultured bacterium. Its description in RNAcentral is "partial 16S ribosomal RNA". It matches the Rfam family "Bacterial small subunit ribosomal RNA", at positions 30 to 507 of the family's 1533-position model. The record is from RNAcentral.
AUUGAACGCUGGCGGCAGGCCUAACACAUGCAAGUCGAGCGGAUGAAGGGAGCUUGCUCCUGGAUUCAGCGGCGGACGGGUGAGUAAUGCCUAGGAAUCUGCCUGGUAGUGGGGGAUAACGUCCGGAAACGGGCGCUAAUACCGCAUACGUCCUGAGGGAGAAAGUGGGGGAUCUUCGAACCUCACGCUAUCAGAUGAGCCUAGGUCGGAUUAGCUAGUUGGUGGGGUAAAGGCCUACCAAGGCGAGAUCCGUAACUGGUCUGAGAGGAUGAUCAGUCACACUGGAACUGAGACACGGUCCAGACUCCUACGGGAGGCAGCAGUGGGGAAUAUUGGACAAUGGGCGAAAGCCUGAUCCAGCCAUGCCGCGUGUGUGAAGAAGGUCUUCGGAUUGUAAAGCACUUUAAGUUGGGAGGAAGGGCAGUAAGUUAAUACCUUGCUGUUUUGACGUUACCAACAGAAUAAGCACCGGCUAACUUCGUG